AAAAGAAAAAAAGAAGAGCAACAUAAUAAACAACAUCAUGAUGAUCUAUGUGAAUAUGACAGUAAAUACUAAAUAUUAAACAUUAUUGUGCAGCACGUAAGAUCAACAGCACACAGUGUGCUUUGAGGUAGGAGCCAAAAAGGGUGUAGUUUGUGGGUGUGAUCACCCGUGUGUACACCUGUGAGCAUGGACGCGCUUGUUUUUAAAAGGUUCCUUCAUGUAAUGAUCUGCUAGAGGGUGUGGGGGGGCCACAGCCCCGUCCUCCAGGGCAUGAAGCAGGUAUGGAGGAGAUCAAAACUCCAGACAUCCAGAGGCCCCCAGAACACAAGAGACCAAGGAAGACCAACAGAGGGGCAGCCGCGCCACUGUCCCGGAAAGAGCUGAGGAGAGUCCCAGAUGAGGGCUCACUCAGCAGCCGCGGAGCAGAAGCCAGGGGGAGUUGCAGUGACGCGCCCGUGAGCUCCGCCGGCAGCCAGCCGUGCCUGAGUGACCGAGCCCCAGGCCGAGAGGCCGGGGGCACCCCACCUCCGAAGUGGCCCGAGCGAGCCCCAGGCUCCAGGCCCCGAUAAGCGGCCGCCAAGGAGUGAGCCGGUGUGUACCUGGACGCCCAUCCCCAGACACAAAG
This is a long non-coding RNA of Astatotilapia calliptera (eastern happy), 625 nucleotides long. NCBI's taxonomy places the organism in Eukaryota, Metazoa, Chordata, Actinopteri, Cichliformes, Cichlidae. The record is from Ensembl.